Molecule: RNA transcript, 1217 nt
Organism: Nannospalax galili (Upper Galilee mountains blind mole rat)
Lineage: Eukaryota; Metazoa; Chordata; Mammalia; Rodentia; Spalacidae
Gene name: 60S ribosomal protein L3 pseudogene
Exons: 1
Source: RefSeq, a predicted model, not a curated record
AUGGUGGAGCGAUGUCUCUCUCAUAGGAAGUUCUCUGCUCCCAGGCACAGGUCUUUGGGCUUCUUGCCUUGGAAAUGCAGCAGCCAGCAUCAUGGGAAAGUAAAGAGCUUCCCCAAAGAUGAACCUUCCAAGUCUUUCUACCUCACAUCCUAUCUGGGCUAUAAGGCUGGCAUUAUUCACAUUGUGUAUGAAAUUGACAGGCCAGGAUCCAAGGUGAACAAGAUGGAGGUUGUGGAUGCUGUCACAAUUGUGGAGAUACCCCUAUGGUGAUUGUGGGCAUUGUGGGCUAUGUAGAAACCUCAUGUGGCCUCUGCCCCUUUAAGACCGUCUUUGCUGAGCAUAUCUGGGAUGAAUGCAAAAGGUGCUUCUACAAGAACUGACACAAAUCUAAGAAGAACGCCUUCAUCAAGUGCUGUAAGAAAUGGCAGGACGACAUGGGCAAGAAAUAGCUGGAGAAGAACUUCAACAGCUUGAAGAAGUACUGCCAGGUCAUCAGCCUCAUCACCCACAGCCAGCUGCUGGCCUGCUUCCUCUCAGUCAGGAGGCCCACUUGACGGAGAUCCAGGUGAACUCGGGCACCGUAGCUGAGAAACGAGACUGGGCCAGGGGAGGCUGGAGCAGCAAGUCCAGGUAAACCAGGUGUUUGGGCAGGAUAAGUCGACUGAUGUCAUCGGGGUGACCAAAGGCAAAGUCUACAAAUGGGCCACCAGCUGCUGGCACAUCAAAGAGGCUGCCCUGGAAGAUCCACCGAGGUCUGUGCAAGGUUGCUUGUACCAGAGCCUGGCGCCCUGCCUGUGUGGCCUUCUCUGUGGUUCAAGCUGAGCAAAGAAGCUACCAUCAUGGCAUGGAGAUCAACAAGAAGAUUUACAAGAUUGGUCAGGGCUACCUUAUCAAGGAUAGCAAGGUGAUAAAGAACAAUGCCUUCACCCCUUUCUGACAAGAGCAUAAACCCCUUGGGUGGCUUUGUCCAUUAUGGUGAGGUGACCAAUGAUUUCGUCUUGCUGAAAGGCUGUGUGGUGGGACCCAAGAAGCCAGUACUCAUCCUUCGCAAGUCCUUGCUGGAACAGACCAAAUGUGGUGCUCUGGAGAAGAUUGACCUGAAGUUCAUUGACACCACCUCCAAAUUUGGCCGUGACUGUUACCAGACCAUGAAGGAGAAGAAAACAUUUAUGGGACCACUCAAGAAAGACCAGAUUGCCAAGGAGGAAGGUGCUUAG